This 444-nucleotide ribosomal RNA is filed under the name uncultured bacterium. RNAcentral describes it as "bacterial SSU rRNA". It matches the Rfam family "Bacterial small subunit ribosomal RNA", at positions 32 to 504 of the family's 1533-position model. The record is from RNAcentral.
AAUCAACGUUGGCGGCGCGCUUAACACAUGCAAGUCGAACGAGAAAGGGGAGCAAUCCCUGAGUAAAGUGGCAUCCGGGUGAGUAACACGUGGAUUAUCUACCCUUUGGUGGGGAAUAACUUUGGGAAACCGAAGCUAAUACCGCAUAAGCCCGAGAGGGGAAAGGUGAAAAUCGCCGAAGGAAGAGUCCGCGGCCGAUUAGCUAGUUGGUAGGGUAAUGGCCUACCAAGGCAAAGAUCGGUAGCCGGCCUGAGAGGGCACACGGCCACACUGGCACUGAAACACGGGCCAGACUCCUACGGGAGGCAGCAGUGGGGAAUCUUGCACAAUGGGGGAAACCCUGAUGCAGCGACGCCGCGUGAGCGAUGAAGCCCUUCGGGGUGUAAAGCUCUUUCGACAGGGACGAUUAUGACGGUACCUGGAGAAGAAGCUGCGGCUAACUAC